Molecule: ribosomal RNA, 480 nt
Filed under: uncultured bacterium
Lineage: Bacteria
Description: bacterial SSU rRNA
Rfam family: Bacterial small subunit ribosomal RNA
Source: RNAcentral
GGCGCGCUUACACAUGCAAGUCGAGCGAGAAAGGGAGCAAUCCUGAGUAAAGCGGCGUACGGGUGAGUAACACGUGGAUGAUCUACCUCUUAGUGGGGAAUACCCCUGGGAAACCGGGGACAAUACCGCAUAAGCCUGAGAAGGGAAAGCCGAAAGGCGCUGAGAGAGGAGUCCGCGGCCGAUUAGCUAGUUGGUAGGGUAAGAGCCUACCAAGGCGACGAUCGGUAGCCGGCCUGAGAGGGCACACGGCCACACUGGCACUGGGAUACGGGCCAGACUCCUACGGGAGGCAGCAGUGGGGAAUCUUGCACAAUGGAGGCAACUCUGAUGCAGCGACGCCGCGUGAGCGAUGAAGCCCUUCGGGGUGUAAAGCUCUUUCGACGGGGACGAUAAUGACGGUACCCGGAGAAGAAGCUGCGGCUAACUACGUGCCAGCAGCCGCGGUAAUACGUANGCAGCGAGCGUUGUUCGGAAUUACUG